Long non-coding RNA from Anguilla anguilla (European eel), 220 nucleotides. RefSeq lists it as uncharacterized. The transcript is spliced from 2 exons. NCBI's taxonomy places the organism in Eukaryota, Metazoa, Chordata, Actinopteri, Anguilliformes, Anguillidae. The record is from RefSeq and is a predicted model, not a curated record.
ACAUGAUAUCGUCACUGGGCAGCGAGCUAACGAAACUCUUAUUUCUUGCUCGCAACACCGAGCUGCCUGCACGAAUGUCUUCACUGACUUAACUUUUGAAAGUUAAACAACUGCAUUGUGCAGCUCCUGCCCACUUACCCAACAGACCUCCGUCAUCUGGUGUACAAGCUGCUGAAACCUCUGUUUUUGUGAUUCCACUUCAAUAAAUUGCUGAAGCUGA